RNAcentral lists this ribosomal RNA (1338 nucleotides) under metagenome. RNAcentral describes it as "bacterial LSU rRNA". It matches the Rfam family "Bacterial large subunit ribosomal RNA", at positions 1564 to 2910 of the family's 2925-position model. The record is from RNAcentral.
UGAAUACGAGAUGCUACGGCGUCGAAGCAGUCUAUGUCAUACUUCCAAGAAAAGCUUGCACUGUCAUAAACAAAUAAUGCCUGUACCAUAACCGACACAGGUGGGUAGGUAGAGUAUACUAAGGGGCGCGAGAUAACUCUCUCUAAGGAACUCGGCAAAAUGACUCCGUAACUUCGGGAGAAGGAGUGCCUUAUUUAUAAGGUUGCAAUAACAAGAUCCAAGCAACUGUUUACCAAAAACACAGGUCUCCGCUAAGUCGUAAGACGAUGUAUGGGGGCUGACGCCUGCCCAGUGCCAGAAGGUUAAAGAAGUUGGUUAGCAUCCGCGAAGCUGAUAACUGAAGCCCUGGUGAACGGCGGCCGUAACGAUAACGGUCCUAAGGUAGCGAAAUUCCUUGUCGGGUAAGUUCCGACCCGCACGAAAGGCGUAAUGAUUUGGAUACUGUCUCGGAGAGGGGCUCGGUGAAAUAGACUUGUCUGUGAAGAUGCGGACUACCUGCACCAGGACAGAAAGACCCUAUGAAGCUUUACUGUAACCUGAAAUUGAAAUUGGACUUUACUUGCGCAGUAUAGGUGGGAGGCGUUGAGAAUAUUCUUGCGGGAUUAUUGGAGCCAUCAGUGAGAUACCACUCUUGUAAUGUUAGAUUUCUAACUUUGUAUCAUUAUCUGGUCAAAGAACAGUUUCAGGCGGGCAGUUUGACUGGGGCGGUCGCCUCCUAAACGGUAACGGAGGCGCACAAAGGUUUCCUCUGAACGGGUAGAAAUCGUAUCUAGAGUGUAAAGGCAUAAGGAAGCUUGACUGUGAGACCUACAAGUCGAGCAGGGACGAAAGUCGGUCUUAGUGAUCUGACGGUGCUGAGUGGAAAGGCCGUCACUCAACGGAUAAAAGUUACUCUAAGGAUAACAGGCUGAUCUCCCCCAAGAGUUCACAUCGACGGGGAGGUUUGGCACCUCGAUGUCGGCUCAUCGCAUCCUGGGGCGGUAGUACGUCCCAAGGGUUGGGCUGUUCGCCCAUGAAAGCGGUACGCGAGCUGGGUUCAGAACGUCGUGAGACAGUUCGGUCCAUAUCCGGUGUAGGCGUUAGAAUAUUGAGAGGAGCCUUCUUUAGUACGAGAGGACCGAGAAGGACAUACCUCUGGUGUACCAGUUAUCGUGCCAACGGUAAACGCUGGGUAGCUAUGUGUGGAGUGGAUAACCGCUGAAAGCAUCUAAGUGGGAAGCCCACCUCAAGAUGAGUACUCCCAUGGGGUUAACCCAGUAAGGUCACGGGAAGACCACCCGUUUAUAGGUUCUAGAUGGAAGUCCAGCAAUGGAUGAAGUCGAGGGAUACUAAUAGACC